RNAcentral lists this ribosomal RNA (479 nucleotides) under uncultured bacterium. RNAcentral's name for it is "partial 16S ribosomal RNA". It matches the Rfam family "Bacterial small subunit ribosomal RNA", at positions 28 to 507 of the family's 1533-position model. The record is from RNAcentral.
GAUGAACGCUAGCGGGAGGCCUAACACAUGCAAGCCGAGCGGUAUUGUUUCUUCGGAAAUGAGAGAGCGGCGUACGGGUGCGUAACACGUGUGCAACCUGCCUUUAUCUGGGGGAUAGCCUUUCGAAAGGAAGAUUAAUACUCCAUAAUAUAUUGAACGGCAUCGUUUAAUAUUGAAAGCUCCGGCGGAUAGAGAUGGGCACGCGCAAGAUUAGCUAGUUGGUGAGGUAACGGCUCACCAAGGCGAUGAUCUUUAGGGGGCCUGAGAGGGUGAUCCCCCACACUGGUACUGAGACACGGACCAGACUCCUACGGGAGGCAGCAAUGAGGAAUAUUGGUCAAUGGGUGCAAGCCUGAACCAGCCAUCCCGUGUGAAGGACGACUGCCCUAUGGGUUGUAAACUUCUUUUGUAUAGGGAUAAACCUACCCUCGAGAGGGUAGCUGAAGGUACUAUACGAAUAAGCACCGGCUAACUCCGUG